UGUUUACAAAUUCAUACGCUCACUGCUGCUAUCAACACCAAUGGCUAUAAUCAAGUUGCUUCAAAAACACAUCGUCAAUCGCAUAUCUAGCGUACUAUG
Molecule: long non-coding RNA, 99 nt
Organism: Maniola jurtina (meadow brown)
Lineage: Eukaryota; Metazoa; Arthropoda; Insecta; Lepidoptera; Nymphalidae
Exons: 3
Source: RefSeq, a predicted model, not a curated record